Mugil cephalus (flathead mullet) is the source of this 807-nucleotide long non-coding RNA. RefSeq lists it as uncharacterized. The transcript is spliced from 2 exons. Lineage: Eukaryota; Metazoa; Chordata; Actinopteri; Mugiliformes; Mugilidae. The record is from RefSeq and is a predicted model, not a curated record.
UACAGGGCGCGCUGCCGGGCCUGCUCUCUGGAGAAGACGGCGUUGCGCUGGCCGAGGAUCUCGGCGGGAGACGGACGCAGGGCGGCCGAGGCCGACGCAAAACCUGGGGAUCAAUGAACGUUUGGAUUCAGGCACAAACGAGGAGGCGCUUGUGGUUGAAGGACGCCAUGCCUGCUGGAUGUGCAACGUAUAUUUGGGUCCGGGGCGGAACGUAUAUCAGGAGCCGGGAGUUCCACGUGACCUACGGGACCAAGCGCUGCUCUGGUUUACGACAGCAGGUGUCGCUGUUGGUAUUCAUUUAACUCGUUCACUCAUUUAACGCAACAUAAUAGGCUACGUCUCUGUCUAAUAACUCUUUAAUGUCCUCCGCUUAAGGCCGCUGCUCUUAUGCUGAUUGCGUGGAGUUCAAAAGUUAUGAUCUUGUAUCUAAAAUCUCACGUCUGAGAUUUCAUCCUCUAAUGGACUCUAAUGGCGCUGGGAAUUUGACAAAUGCUCGUUGGAUUUUCAGGACCACAAUCAGCAGCGAGGAGUGGGACCAACAGCAUCGUGAAUCAUCAGCAGUGCCAGGUUGCUGCUCGAUUUUCACAAAUCAUGUGACAUAGAGGAGAAGAAGAACAAUAAAACAUGGCCAAGUUGUGCAUAAAGGUUUAUUUUUUUGUUUUUUGUUGAAAAUAAGUGUUUCUGACAUUGAACCACUAACUGAUGUGACUUAAGAUAGAUGACCUACACACUGACACUGAAGUUCAAACAAUGUAACAAGGCAUUUGUAUUAUCUGUAAGUGUGUAAAGACGAGUGUCCGACAAUGA